RNAcentral lists this transfer RNA (76 nucleotides) under Lentisphaerae bacterium GWF2_50_93. RNAcentral describes it as "tRNA-Phe". It matches the Rfam family "tRNA". From Rfam's summary of the family: Transfer RNA (tRNA) molecules are approximately 80 nucleotides in length. Their secondary structure includes four short double-helical elements and three loops (D, anti-codon, and T loops). The record is from RNAcentral. Lineage: Bacteria; Pseudomonadati; Lentisphaerota. RNAcentral also lists the same sequence under 1 other name.
GGCGGGGUAGCUCAGUCGGUAGAGCAGAGGACUGAAAAUCCUUGUGUCGCCGGUUCAAUUCCGGCUCCUGCCACCA